GAUGAAGAACGUAGCGAAAUGCGAUAAGUAAUGUGAAUUGCAGAAUUCAGUGAAUCAUCGAAUCUUUGAACGCACAUUGUGCCCGCCAGUAUUCUGGCGGGCAUGCCUGUCCGAGCGUCAUUUCAACCAUCAAGCCCCGGGCUUGUGUUGGGGACCUGCGUCCGACGCAGGCCCUGAAAACCAGUGGCGGGCUCGCUGUCCACACCGAGCGUAGUAACUAACCUCGCUAUGGAGUGGCGCGGGCGCCUGCCGUAAAACCCCCAAUUUCACAAGGUUGACCUCGGAUCAGGUAGGAAUACCCGCUGAACUUAAGCAUAUCAAUAAGCGGAGGA
Molecule: unclassified non-coding RNA, 332 nt
Filed under: soil metagenome
Description: partial contains 5.8S ribosomal RNA, internal transcribed spacer 2, and large subunit ribosomal RNA
Rfam family: 5.8S ribosomal RNA (bases 1-120)
Source: RNAcentral